UCUCGUCACGGCAGCUGGGCAACGGUGCACACCCCUCUCUACGGCCAUCAUCAUCAUCCCCUAUUGCCCUACGAGGGAAGCAUAUAGUGCCGCGCGCCCCUUCUCGCAAGGGUGGUUUUGUGUGUGCGUGAGAGAAGGCUUUGAAAAACUCCCGCGAGAGCAUGUAUAUAUAUAUGUGUGUAUCGGAAACAUUACCCCGAGCCGAGAGAAAGCAUUGAUGGUGUUGCCGUUUGCCCUCCAUUCGUACCCGAAACCCACCCCACACAGGGGUGUGCGAGAGCGCGCGCGCGCGCGCCAAAAACCACCAGCUGAUGAGGGAUUCCGUUCUCACACACAGUGGUGAGGAUUAUCCCUCGGGGGAAAAAAAACGGCCACCCUGGGGGGUGGGGGUUGAGGGAAUUUAAUCUGCAAUUUCUUGUCCUUCUCACAAAGCGGACCACGCUCUCGUGCUGAACAUUUGACACCAAAGCAACGCAACGAUGAACCUCACAGCGGAAGGUGUUGGAUGGAUGCAGGACACCAACGACCAAACCUUCCCAGCUGUUUGCUUAACUAAGGAGUCACAUGUCACGGCAGUAGGAAAAAAGAAGAAGAAAACUUUCACCUCCUUACGGUGUACAACCGGUUACUUUCCGGUCUGGCAUGUGAAAGUUACCGAAAGGAUACAGAACAGAGAUUCAUCGGCGUGCAACACAGAAAAAAGGCGGAAAUGAGGAACCAACCCCGAAAUGGAAAUGGAACCGGAACGGAUUUGCUGCUCUCUCUCUCUCCCUCUGUGUGUCUCUGUGUAGAGCAUAUGCAUCGUUGCUAUCCUUUCUGUGUCCUUCUCUAUUUAUGGGCUAGUUUCCUCACACAUACAAGGGCAACGGGUAAGGAGUUUUAUGAAUGAAACCUAUCGCCCCUAGGCCUGUAAACUCGGGCGAGGAACGUAAAAUGAAAGGGAUUGCGUAGCAAAAAAGGGCCCCGAAGAGCUGCUCAACAUUACCCAAGCGAUACGUGUCAAAAAAAGAAAAAAGGAUGACCACCGUCGUUUCCGCUUUCAUUCGCAAAAAAAGGAACUGUAUGUAUGUGGUGUUUAGAAGUGAAUGCUUUUUUAUACUACUUUUAGGUAAAUAUUCU
Anopheles stephensi (Asian malaria mosquito) is the source of this 1119-nucleotide long non-coding RNA. RefSeq lists it as uncharacterized. The transcript is spliced from 2 exons. Lineage: Eukaryota; Metazoa; Arthropoda; Insecta; Diptera; Culicidae. The record is from RefSeq and is a predicted model, not a curated record.